Molecule: microRNA precursor, 81 nt
Organism: Loxodonta africana (African savanna elephant)
Lineage: Eukaryota; Metazoa; Chordata; Mammalia; Proboscidea; Elephantidae
Gene: MIR876
Product: microRNA 876
Source: Ensembl
UGAAAUGCUGUGGAUUUCUUUGUGAAUCACCAUAUCUAAACUAAUAUGGUGGGGGUUUACAAAGUAAUUCAUAGUGCUUCA